AGAGGUCUCGCACAGCUCGGCACAGCCCCGGCAGAAAUUCCUAUGACAGUGGCGUUGUAGACCAUCAGCCCUGUCCCACAGGAGAGCCACCAGCCGUGUGUGGCUAUUGAGCCCUUGAAAGGUGGCUAGUGCAUCUGAGGAGCUGAAUUUUAAUCUUUUUGAAUUUGAAUGGAUUUGUUUGAAUAGCCCCAUGCGACUAGAAGCCAGUUUCGGACAGCACAGAUGGGACAGACCAGAGGGCUUUGGCCAGACCCGAGAUACGAGGAGCACAGGCCCGUUCCGCGUGCUGGAGUUCGGGAAAACUGGUUGCUGAGGAUCAGAAGUGUGUGGAGCCUGCCGGUCACAAUGCCAGCUGAGGCCAAGCAGGUGACAUGAGUGACGCGGUUGGGGCAGGGGUGGGGGGGGGCAGAUUGUAGCAAGGCACGGAACCCGUGUCCAGACAGGCUCCUGCCUGUCAGCAGCUCCUCAUCGUUGCCACACUGCCGGAGUGUCGUCACAUCUCCCCAAGAGAAGUGAGGAGCAUGGAUUUUUAUGGGAAAUGACCUCAUUUCUAGUUGGCAACUCACCCUAGGACUUUCGUCUGUUUGUUUUUUAAACAGGGUGCCGCCUAAACAAAACACGGAGGCGGGGCCUUGGCCCGAGGUGGCUGAGGAGAGCGAGUCCCGACCUUGCCCCCUCCUCCGCAGGCCCUCCCUGGCUCCGACACCUCCGCCUCCCCCAGGGGGGUUGGGCAGGGCGGUUGUCUCGGGCUCCCAUGAGGCCAAGGGACACAGCCCAGGAAGGAUGACUUCUCACGAACCCAAAAAUCACAGAGGCAGGCAACCUAGAAAGUACCAGGUUUUAUUAUCUUUUAUCAAAAAAUCAGUAACAGACAACAGUGUGAGGGGCUACAGGAGGUGCUGACUUCUGACAUAGCCAGAGGAAAGGACACGGGGGUGGGGGGCGGAGGGGGGCUGGUAGAGAAGAGGACCCAGCCAGCUGGGAACCCUGGGUCACGGCGGGGGGUGGGGGGGAAGGUGCAGGCAGUGAGGCUGAUCCCACCCACCCCAGCCAGUGGGGGCAGGAGACGGCAGCCCACCCAGGCUGAUCCACCAAACCUCUCUCCUCUCUGGAACAUAACAAGUUCCCGAGCUGGGGCCCAGUCAGUCCUCCCCACCCCUCCCUUCGCCCAGGGAGACAAAGGUCACCCCCAGCCAAGCUGGGGCUGUGACUCGUGAAGCCAGUCUGGUUCGCCAGCAGUGCGCGCCCAUAGACAGAUGGAGACGGUCUCCGCCGGCCCGCUGGCUGCGGCAGCCCCUGGCCCCAGGUGGCAGCUGAGCACGUGAACUGCGGUCAGUGCAACCGAGGAAUGGAUUUUUAACUUGAUGCAAUUUUAAUCGACUGAAAUAGCCACAUGUGGCUGGUGGUUACCGUAUUGGCUAGCACACUGGCUAGCACAGCGCUCCAAUUGUCUCUUAAAUGUGGAGAAAGGAAGGAGCACCCGCCGGGCUCCAGGCAGAAGCUAGAGAGCAGGCAGAGCAUCUGCCCGCGCUACCCCAACCCAGGGGAAAGGCACUAGGGACGGGGCAAGAGAAAGAGGCAGAAACCCCUUCGGCCACAUCAGAACUCACUCCCUCCACCGCCCAGCAACUUCACACGGGAAACAUCAUACUA
This is a long non-coding RNA of Phyllostomus discolor (pale spear-nosed bat), 1653 nucleotides long. RefSeq lists it as uncharacterized. The record is from RefSeq and is a predicted model, not a curated record. Lineage: Eukaryota; Metazoa; Chordata; Mammalia; Chiroptera; Phyllostomidae. The transcript is spliced from 2 exons.